AUUGAACGCUGGCGGCAUGCUUUACACAUGCAAGUCGAACGGUAACAGGCCGCAAGGUGCUGACGAGUGGCGAACGGGUGAGUAAUGCAUCGGAACGUGCCCAGUCGUGGGGGAUAACUACUCGAAAGAGUAGCUAAUACCGCAUACGAUCUAUGGAUGAAAGCGGGGGACCGUAAGGCCUCGCGCGAUUGGGGCGGCCGAUGUCAGAUUAGGUAGUUGGUGGGGUAAAGGCUCACCAAGCCAACGAUCUGUAGCUGGUCUGAGAGGACGACCAGCCACACUGGGACUGAGACACGGCCCAGACUCCUACGGGAGGCAGCAGUGGGGAAUUUUGGACAAUGGGCGCAAGCCUGAUCCAGCAAUGCCGCGUGCAGGAAGAAGGCCUUCGGGUUGUAAACUGCUUUUGUACGGAACGAAACGGCUCUGGUUAAUACCCGGGGCUAAUGACGGUACCGUAAGAAUAAGCACCGGCUAACUACGUG
Molecule: ribosomal RNA, 482 nt
Filed under: uncultured bacterium
Lineage: Bacteria
Description: partial 16S ribosomal RNA
Rfam family: Bacterial small subunit ribosomal RNA
Source: RNAcentral